UACGUAGGGUGCGAGCGUUAAUCGGAAUUACUGGGCGUAAAGCGUGCGCAGGCGGCGCGUUAAGACAGGUGUGAAAGCCCCGAGCUUAACUUGGGAAUUGCGCUUGUGACUGGCGUGCUGGAGUGUGGCAGAGGGAGGUGGAAUUCCACGUGUAGCAGUGAAAUGCGUAGAGAUGUGGAGGAACACCGAUGGCGAAGGCAGCCCCCUGGGCCAAUACUGACGCUCAUGCACGAAAGCGUGGGGAGCAAACAGG
This 253-nucleotide ribosomal RNA is filed under the name uncultured bacterium. Its description in RNAcentral is "partial 16S ribosomal RNA". It matches the Rfam family "Bacterial small subunit ribosomal RNA", at positions 524 to 776 of the family's 1533-position model. The record is from RNAcentral.